This 425-nucleotide ribosomal RNA is filed under the name uncultured bacterium. Its description in RNAcentral is "partial 16S ribosomal RNA". It matches the Rfam family "Bacterial small subunit ribosomal RNA", at positions 354 to 796 of the family's 1533-position model. The record is from RNAcentral.
GUGGGGAAUCUUGCGCAAUGGGCGAAAGCCUGACGCAGCCAUGCCGCGUGAAUGGUGAAGGUCUUAGGAUUGUAAAAUUCUUUCACCGGGGACGAUAAUGACGGUACCCGGAGAAGAAGCCCCGGCUAACUUCGUGCCAGCAGCCGCGGUAAUACGAAGGGGGCUAGCGUUGCUCGGAAUUACUGGGCGUAAAGGGCGCGUAGGCGGACAGUUUAGUCAGAGGUGAAAGCCCAGGGCUCAACCUUGGAAUUGCCUUUGAUACUGGCUGUCUUGAGUGUGGGAGAGGUGAGUGGAACUCCGAGUGUAGAGGUGAAAUUCGUAGAUAUUCGGAAGAACACCAGUGGCGAAGGCGACUCACUGGCCCAAUACUGACGCUGAGGCGCGAAAGCGUGGGGAGCAAACAGGAUUAGAUACUCCUGUAGUCC